GAAGAACGCUGGGGGCGUGCUUAACACAUGCAAGUCAAACAGAGAGGCCCCUCUUUUUGGGGGGCUGCUCGAGUGGAAAAGGGGAGAAUAACACGUGAAUCCCCCGCCCUUGAUUGUGAUAUAACUUCAAGAAAGGGGCUAUAAUAGCAGAUAGGAUCUCCUGCUGCGUGGGGGGUGUAAAAAAAUCUUCGGCGGGUGAGGAUGCACUCGCUAUUUAUCAGGUUGUUGGGGGGGUAGUGACUUACGAAGGCUUUGACGGCUAGCCUGACUAAGAGGCUGACCGCCCACAUUGGGACAGACAUCCGGCACACACUCCUACGGGAGGCAGGAGUGAUUAAUAUUGCAGGGUGGACGCAAGUCUGAUGCACCCGCGCCGCGUGAGGAGAUGACUCCCUUCGGAAUCUACACCUCUUUCGCCUGAGACGAAGCGUGAGUGACGGUAAUGGAAAAAAAAGCACCGUCUAACUACGUGCCAGCAGCCGAGGUGAUACGUAGGGUGCGAGCGUUGUCCUGAUUUAUUGGGCGUAAAGGGCUCGUAGGUGGUUGAUCGCGUCGGAAGUGUAAUCUUGGGGCUUAACCCUGAGCGUGCUUUCGAUACGGGUUGACUUGAGGAAGGUAGGGGAGAAUGGAAUUCCUGGUGGAGCGGUGGAAUGCGCAGAUAUCAGGAGGAACACCAGUGGCGAAGGCGGUUCUCUGGGCCUUUCCUGACGCUGAGGAGCGAAAGCGUGGGGAGCGAACAGGCUUAGAUACCCUGGUAGUCCACGCUGUAAACGGUGGGUACUAGGUGUGGGGUCCAUUCCACGGGUUCCGUGCCGUAGCUAACGCUUUAAGUACCCCGCCUGGGGAGUACGGCCGCAAGGCUAAAACUCAAAGGAAUUGACGGGGCCCCGCACAAGCGGCGGAGCAUGCGGAUUAAUUCGAUGCAACGCGCAGAACCUUACCUGGGUUUGACAUGGAUCGGGAGUGCUCAGAGAUGGGUGUGCCUCUUUUGGGGUCGGUUCACAGGUGGUGCAUGCCUGUCGUCAGCUCGUGUCGUGAGAUGUUGGGUUAAGUCCCGCAACGAGCGCAACCCUUGUUCACUGUUGCCAGCACGUUAUGGUGGGGACUCAGUGGAGACCGCCGGGGUCAACUCGGAGGAAGGUGGGGAUGACGUCAAGUCAUCAUGCCCCUUAUGUCCAGGGCUUCACGCAUGCUACAAUGGCUGGUACAGAGAGUGGCGAGCCUGUGAGGGUGAGCGAAUCUCGGAAAGCCGGUCUCAGUUCGGAUUGGGGUCUGCAACUCGACCUCAUGAAGUCGGAGUCGCUAGUAAUCGCAGAUCAGCAACGCUGCGGUGAAUACGUUCCCGGGGCU
Molecule: ribosomal RNA, 1350 nt
Filed under: uncultured bacterium
Lineage: Bacteria
Description: bacterial SSU rRNA
Rfam family: Bacterial small subunit ribosomal RNA
Source: RNAcentral